This 253-nucleotide ribosomal RNA is filed under the name uncultured bacterium. RNAcentral's name for it is "partial 16S ribosomal RNA". It matches the Rfam family "Bacterial small subunit ribosomal RNA", at positions 524 to 776 of the family's 1533-position model. The record is from RNAcentral.
UACGUAGGGGGCGAGCGUUAUCCGGAAUUACCGGGUGUAAAGGGAGCGUAGACGGCGAAGUAAGCCUGAAGUGGAAGCCCGCGGCCCAACCGCGGAACUGCUUUGGGAACUGCUUAGCUGGAGUAUGGGAGGGGUAAGCGGAAUUCCUGGUGUAGCGGUGAAAUGCGUAGAUAUCAGGAGGAACACCGGUGGCGAAGGCGGCUUACUGGACCAUGACUGACGUUGAGGCUCGAAAGCGUGGGGAGCGAACAGG